UCUCCCUCUCUCCAACUCCGACUUCUCCUUCUCUUCUCCGUCUGUGACUGAAACUUGUUCCUCCAUUGCAAGUUUGCAACCCUAAUAGCCUAACCUUUAUUCGUCCGCGGGCCACUUCAGCCUUCCGCCUUCAAGGUCAGCCGGCUGCUCCACUUUCAGCCCAAGGUUCCUGCCUGUGCUCUCCUGUGCUCUCCGCUCCUGCGUGUGCUCUCCAUCUCAGCCUUGCCCUUCUCCCUUCAACUUUCAGCCCAAGGUUCCUGUCCAUGCCAAUCUGAAAGCUUAUCCACUUGGUAACUUCAUUGGCCUCAUAUUUGGCCCUAAGAACAGUACAAAAACGGUUGUGCGUGCUUUACGAGCUGCUUAUAAUAAUCCUGAGAGGGCUGUCGAUUACUUGUAUUCGGAUAAUAGUUUGAGCAGGAGAAAAAAUUACUAGUUUGAAGAACGACAAAUUUAGAAAGAAAUAUCAUUGAUAGGGGCAAGCAAGUAUGUGAUUCGAGACAAAGCUCAAAUGAUUGGGUAAUUGGGUAAAGAAUGAUGGUGAUCCAAUGCAUGAAGUGUUAAUAAAAGUUGAGGAUGAAUCAAGUGAAUAUGUAUCAUUAGAAUGAUUAAGUUUCCUCUUGUUUUCAGCUUCGAUAUCCAAUGUUCAUGACUCAUGAUUGUGUGAAGAGCUUCUAUAUGAAGAGCUUGCUGAUACUGUGGUUAGAGGAAGGGAUGAUUUAUUUUCAAGUUUUGGUUCCUUGAGAAGAGAGAGGGUUCUCAAAACAUUUGUUCACAUAUUUUUACAUACUUCUGAACAAGCUAAUUAUGAACAAGUCCCAUUCAUUUAGAAUGAAUUUGAUGGAACUACAUAACCAAAGUCAUAUGUUGACAGCACUGUAAGUUUCAUCAAUUGUUUCUUGUCCAUGGUAACAGGAAUAUCUUCUUACAGUUACAGGUACUUGUAUUGAGGCUGCUGCACCUUGUCCAUGGUAAUAAAUGUUGAUUCUAACA
Long non-coding RNA from Nymphaea colorata (pocket water lily), 990 nucleotides. RefSeq lists it as uncharacterized. The transcript has 6 exons. NCBI's taxonomy places the organism in Eukaryota, Viridiplantae, Streptophyta, Magnoliopsida, Nymphaeales, Nymphaeaceae. The record is from RefSeq and is a predicted model, not a curated record.